Molecule: long non-coding RNA, 211 nt
Filed under: Lathyrus oleraceus (garden pea)
Lineage: Eukaryota; Viridiplantae; Streptophyta; Magnoliopsida; Fabales; Fabaceae
Description: Pisum sativum (pea) long non-coding RNA (PSAT_LNC023945)
Source: RNAcentral
GUGAAGAAUUUUAUUUCUUGUUUUUCAAUACUGUUUGCAUGAAAGCCAUACGUUUUGCCCGAAACGUAAUGGUCCAUUGUAAGGGCCACCUCAUGUUUCAUUUUGCAACAUUUUGCAUCAUAAAUAAAUGGAUGUUUUUCAAAUUAAAAGUGGUGUUCCCUGUUUUUCAUUUAUUUUGCAAUUUUAAAAACAAAUAAAAAUGGCAAUGUUU